CAAUAGCGUAUAUUAAAGUUGUUGCGGUUAAAAAGCUCGUAGUUGGAUCUCGGCAGGCAGGGGGUGGUUCGCUCUUAGCGCUACUGCCCCAUUUGCCUGUGUGAUUGGCGGAGGUUUCGGGGUGCUCUUCGUUGAGUGACCCGGGGCGCCGUCAGGUUUACUUUGAAAAAAUUAGAGUGCUCAAAGCAGGCUUUUCACGCUUGAAUAUUCGUGCAUGGAAUAAUGGAAUAGGAACUCGUUUCUAUUUUGUUGGUUUUCGGAAAUCGAGUUAAUGAUUAAUAGGGACAAUUGGGGGCAUUAGUAUUCAGACGACAGAGGUGAAAUUCUUGGACCGUCUGAAGACUAACUACUGCGAAAGCAUUUGCCAAGGAUGUUUUCAUUAA
This 383-nucleotide ribosomal RNA is filed under the name uncultured eukaryote. Its description in RNAcentral is "partial 18S ribosomal RNA". It matches the Rfam family "Eukaryotic small subunit ribosomal RNA", at positions 592 to 976 of the family's 1831-position model. The record is from RNAcentral.